RNAcentral lists this ribosomal RNA (386 nucleotides) under uncultured bacterium. RNAcentral's name for it is "bacterial SSU rRNA". It matches the Rfam family "Bacterial small subunit ribosomal RNA", at positions 28 to 417 of the family's 1533-position model. The record is from RNAcentral.
GACGAACGCUGGCGGCGUGCUUAACACAUGCAAGUCGAGCGGUAAGGCCCUUCGGGUACGACGAGCGGCGAACGGCUGAGUAACACGUGGGUGACCUGCCUCUAGCUCUGGGAUAAGCCUGGGAAACUGGGUCUAAUACCGGAUAUGACUCCACGGCGCAUGUUGUGGGGUGGAAAGCCUUGUGUGGCUAGAGAUGGGCCCGCGGCCUAUCAGCUUGUUGGUGGGGUGAUGGCCUACCAAGGCGACGACGGGUAGCCGGCCUGAGAGGGCGACCGGCCACACUGGGACUGAGACACGGCCCAGACUCCUACGGGAGGCAGCAGUGGGGAAUCUUGCGCAAUGGGCGAAAGCCUGACGCAGCGACGCCGCGUGAGGGAUGACGGCCU